This 68-nucleotide small RNA is filed under the name Spisula solidissima (Atlantic surf clam). Lineage: Eukaryota; Metazoa; Mollusca; Bivalvia; Venerida; Mactridae. The record is from RNAcentral.
UUUAAGUAGCCAUGUUGUAUUGACUUUGUAUAAUGUGGUUGUAAAAAUGGAAUAGAAACUCGGCCUAA